GAUCAUGGCUCAGGAUGAACGCUAGCGACAGGCUUAACACAUGCAAGUCGAGGGGCAGCAUGAAAGUAGCAAUACGUUGGUGGCGACCGGCGCACGGGUGAGUAACGCGUAUGCAACCUACCUAUCAGAGGGGAAUAACCCGGCGAAAGUCGGACUAAUACCGCAUAAAACAGGGGCACCGCAUGGUGAUAUUUGUUAAAGAAAUUCGCUGAUAGAUGGGCAUGCGUUCCAUUAGGUAGUUGGUGAGGUAACGGCUCACCAAGCCGACGAUGGAUAGGGGAACUGAGAGGUUGGUCCCCCACACUGGUACUGAGACACGGACCAGACUCCUACGGGAGGCAGCAGUGAGGAAUAUUGGUCAAUGGGCGGGAGCCUGAACCAGCCAAGUCGCGUGAAGGAAGAAGGAUCUAUGGUUCGUAAACUUCUUUGCAGGGGAAUAAAGUGCAGGACGUGUCCUGUUUUGUAUGUACCCUGAGAAUAAGGAUCGGCUAACUCCGUGCCAGCAGCCGC
Molecule: ribosomal RNA, 510 nt
Filed under: uncultured bacterium
Lineage: Bacteria
Description: bacterial SSU rRNA
Rfam family: Bacterial small subunit ribosomal RNA
Source: RNAcentral